RNAcentral lists this ribosomal RNA (253 nucleotides) under uncultured bacterium. RNAcentral's name for it is "partial 16S ribosomal RNA". It matches the Rfam family "Bacterial small subunit ribosomal RNA", at positions 524 to 776 of the family's 1533-position model. The record is from RNAcentral.
CACGUAGGGUGCGAGCGUUGUCCGGAUUUAUUGGGCGUAAAGAGCGUGUAGGCGGCCAGGUAGGUCUGGUGUGAAAACUCGAGGCUUAACCUUGAGAUGUCAUCGGAAACCAUUUGGCUAGAGUCCGGAAGAGGAAAGUGGAAUUCCUGGUGUAGCGGUGAAAUGCGCAGAUAUCAGGAAGAACACCAAUGGCGAAAGCAGCUUUCUGGGACGGUACUGACGCUGAGACGCGAAAGCGUGGGGAGCGAACAGG